This 497-nucleotide ribosomal RNA is filed under the name uncultured bacterium. RNAcentral's name for it is "partial 16S ribosomal RNA". It matches the Rfam family "Bacterial small subunit ribosomal RNA", at positions 28 to 507 of the family's 1533-position model. The record is from RNAcentral.
GAUGAACGCUGGCGGCGUGCCUAAUACAUGCAAGUCGAGCGAACAGAUCAGGAGCUUGCUCCUUUGACGUUACCGGCGGACGGGUGAGUAACACGUGGGUAACCUACCUAUAAGACUGGGAUAACUUCGGGAAACCGGAGCUAAUACCGGAUAAUAUUUCGAACCGCAUGGUUCGAUAGUGAAAGAUGGUUUUGCUAUCACUUAUAGAUGGACCCGCGCCGUAUUAGCUAGUGGGUAAGGUAACGGCUUACCAAGGCGACGAUACGUAGCCGACCUGAGAGGGUGAUCGGCCACACUGGAACUGAGACACGGUCCAGACUCCUACGGGAGGCAGCAGUAGGGAAUCUUCCGCGAUGGGCGAAAGCCUGACGGAGCAACGCCGCGUGAGUGAUGAAGGUCUUCGGAUCGUAAAACUCUGUUAUUAGGGAAGAACAUACGUGUAAGUAACUGUGCACGUCUUGACGGUACCUAAUCAGAAAGCCACGGCUAACUACGUG